This 319-nucleotide long non-coding RNA is filed under the name Linum usitatissimum (flax). RNAcentral describes it as "long non-coding RNA (LUSI_LNC001223)". The record is from RNAcentral. Lineage: Eukaryota; Viridiplantae; Streptophyta; Magnoliopsida; Malpighiales; Linaceae.
CAUGGCAUAAGACCGAGACAGCAGUCAUCGGCAGAAAGCACUCAAAGCAUAUAUCAAUUUCUUACCUUUGUGGAUGAUGAAUUUGAAAUUUUGGGAAAGGUGAUCUCUUCAACAUCCAACUGCGGAUCAAAGUACAGAUGAAGUUCAGGUCAUAGGAACAAUACAGCAACCCAGUCAAGCAAGCAUAAAAACAUAUCUCUUACCUCCAUCGAGUCACUUGAAGUGGAAACAUCACCGUCAUCGUUUUGAUCAUGCUGGAAACUCAGCUCACCAUCGUCGUUAGUGACAUUGGUAUUGCUGUCAUCAUCGUCCUCACCAU